CUACGGUCAUAUCAUGUUGAAACACUGUUUAUUGUAAGAUCACCAAAGUUAAGCAAUCUUGAGCCUGGUCAGUACCUAGAUGGGUGACCACUUGGAAAUAUCAAGUGCUGU
Molecule: non-coding RNA, 111 nt
Organism: Acanthosepion pharaonis
Lineage: Eukaryota; Metazoa; Mollusca; Cephalopoda; Sepiida; Sepiidae
Source: the annotation of a GenBank genome assembly